ACGGGUGAGUAACACGUGGGUAACCUGCCCUGUACUCUGGGAUAAGCCUUGGAAACGAGGUCUAAUACCGGAUACGACCCUUGAAGGCAUCUUUGAGGGUGGAAAGUUCCGGCGGUAUGGGAUGGACCCGCGGCCUAUCAGCUUGUUGGUGGGGUAAUGGCCUACCAAGGCGACGACGGGUAGCCGGCCUGAGAGGGUGACCGGCCACACUGGGACUGAGACACGGCCCAGACUCCUACGGGAGGCAGCAGUGGGGAAUAUUGCACAAUGGGCGAAAGCCUGAUGCAGCGACGCCGCGUGAGGGAUGACGGCCUUCGGGUUGUAAACCUCUUUCAGCAGGGACGAAGCGCAAGUGACGGUACCUGCAGAAGAAGCACCGGCUAACUACGUGCCAGCAGCCGCGGUAAUACGUAGGGUGCGAGCGUUGUCCGGAAUUAUUGGGCGUAAAGAGCUCGUAGGCGGUUUGUCGCGUCGGCCGUGAAAACUUGGGGCUUAACCCCAAGCCUGCGGUCGAUACGGGCAGACUUGAGUUCGGCAGGGGAGACUGGAAUUCCUGGUGUAGCGGUGAAAUGCGCAGA
RNAcentral lists this ribosomal RNA (578 nucleotides) under uncultured bacterium. RNAcentral's name for it is "bacterial SSU rRNA". It matches the Rfam family "Bacterial small subunit ribosomal RNA", at positions 102 to 694 of the family's 1533-position model. The record is from RNAcentral.